Dermochelys coriacea (leatherback sea turtle) is the source of this 793-nucleotide long non-coding RNA. RefSeq lists it as uncharacterized. The record is from RefSeq and is a predicted model, not a curated record. The transcript has 3 exons. NCBI's taxonomy places the organism in Eukaryota, Metazoa, Chordata, Testudines, Dermochelyidae.
UGGAGAGAUGGGAUGAGGAAUGGUCCCUGUUCUCUGACUAAAUAGAGGACUUUUGUUGCCAGGGAGUAUUGAUCCUGGACUCUUCAUCGGUGCUGAAGUGACAUGCAGGAAGGAAGAAAGGAAACUCUCUGUGACCCAGCAAUGUUGUUUCUUGGAGAACAAGACUGAAUGGGAACGCCUACACCUCUUUGUGGCUAACCUGUCUCCAUUCAGGGGGCACUACCAGCUGCCCCACUCCACCGGAGUAGGAGCUUACCAGCAGUGGUGGCACGUGCCCAGAUCUCCACAGGAAACGUGAACGGAGCUACCCUGAAAUACAGUGGAGACCAUUGACCAGCAACUAACCCUUUAACGACUGUCGGCCCCGGGGAGAAGGACUAGUGGCUGGAACUGGAGACAAAGAACAGAGAUGAGUCCAGCCUGUGGGGACAACGUUCUUAUUUCCAUCCAUCCUCCUCCGGGAUACAGUAUACCCCAGGCUCAGAUCCUCAGAAGAAUUUGGGCUCCUACCUCCCAUUGAUUUCAAUACCUUUGAGGAUCUAGCCCCCAGUCCUUCCCAGUGCUCUUUGGCUGAGUGAUGUAGACUGAACUGACAAGGAAAUGCAUCUGGUGGACCGGUCCUAAAGCUAAGGAGCCCUUACAGCAAGCAUUCUACUUAUUGACAUUUUAUUCUGCUGCUUAGCAGAGCCACGGUACCUGUAAUAAAGACUUACGGAACUGUAGCAGCAUGUUCUCGUUGAUCCCAUUCAUGUGACAUUGGUAGGAGGGCCAACGACGGAGAAAGGAAACCAGG